AACGCUAGCUACAGGCUUAACACAUGCAAGUCGAGGGGCAGCAUAUUUCUAGCAAUAGAGAUGAUGGCGACCGGCGCACGGGUGAGUAACACGUAUCCAACCUGCCUUAUACUCGGGGAUAGCCUUUCGAAAGUAAGACUAAUACCCAAUGAUAUCUCUAGAAGACAUCUGAAGGAGAUUAAAGAUUUAUCGGUGAUGGAUGGGGAUGCGUCUGAUUAGCUUGUUGGCGGGGUAACGGCCCACCAAGGCAACGAUCAGUAGGGGUUCUGAGAGGAAGGUCCCCCACAUUGGAACUGAGACACGGUCCAAACUCCUACGGGAGGCAGCAGUGAGGAAUAUUGGUCAAUGGACGAGAGUCUGAACCAGCCAAGUAGCGUGCAGGAAGACGGCCCUAUGGGUUGUAAACUGCUUUUAUAAGGGAAUAAAGUGAGAGUCGUGACUCUUUUUGCAUGUACCUUAUGAAUAAGGACCGGCUAAUUCCGUGCCAGCAGCCGCGGUAAUACGGAGGAUCCGAGCGUUAUCCGGAUUUAUUGGGUUUAAAGGGUGCGUAGGCGGAGUAUUAAGUCAGCUGUGAAAGUUUGGGGCUCAACCUUAAAAUUGCAGUUGAUACUGGUAUUCUUGAGUAUAGUGGAGGUUAGCGGAAUUCGUGGUGUAGCGGUGAAAUGCUUAGAUAUCACGAAGAACUCCGAUUG
RNAcentral lists this ribosomal RNA (692 nucleotides) under uncultured bacterium. RNAcentral describes it as "bacterial SSU rRNA". It matches the Rfam family "Bacterial small subunit ribosomal RNA", at positions 32 to 715 of the family's 1533-position model. The record is from RNAcentral.